GGUGGCUGUAGCUCAGUUGGUAGAGCACCUGAUUGUGGUUCAGGAGGUCGCGCGUUCGAGCCGCGUCAGCCACCCCC
This 77-nucleotide transfer RNA is filed under the name Scardovia inopinata. RNAcentral describes it as "tRNA-His(gtg)". It matches the Rfam family "tRNA". From Rfam's summary of the family: Transfer RNA (tRNA) molecules are approximately 80 nucleotides in length. Their secondary structure includes four short double-helical elements and three loops (D, anti-codon, and T loops). The record is from RNAcentral. Lineage: Bacteria; Bacillati; Actinomycetota; Actinomycetes; Bifidobacteriales; Bifidobacteriaceae.